CCCAGACUCCUACGGGAGGCAGCAGUGGGGAAUAUUGCACAAUGGGGGGAACCCUGAUGCAGCGACGCCGCGUGAACGAAGAAGGCUCUUGGGUCGUAAAGUUCUGUUCUGAGGGAAGAAGAAAGUGACGGUACCUCAGGAGAAAGCCCCGGCUAACUACGUGCCAGCAGCCGCGGUAAUACGUAGGGGGCAAGCGUUAUCCGGAUUUACUGGGUGUAAAGGGGGCGCAGACGGCGAUGCAAGCCAGGAGUGAAAGCCCGGGGCCCAACCCCGGGACUGCUCUUGGAACUGCGUGGCUAGAGUGCAGGAGGGGCAGGCGGAAUUCCUGGUGUAGCGGUGAAAUGCGUAGAUAUCAGGAGGAACACCGGUGGCGAAGGCGGCCUGCUGGACUGCAACUGACGUUGAGGCCCGAAAGCGUGGGGAGCAAACAGGAUUAGAUACCCCUGUAA
RNAcentral lists this ribosomal RNA (449 nucleotides) under uncultured bacterium. Its description in RNAcentral is "bacterial SSU rRNA". It matches the Rfam family "Bacterial small subunit ribosomal RNA", at positions 330 to 793 of the family's 1533-position model. The record is from RNAcentral.